GCUUACGGUCACACUAGGUUUGGCCUGGUUAGUACUUGGAUGGGAGACCACCUGGGAAUACCAGGUGCUGUAAGCU
This 76-nucleotide ribosomal RNA is filed under the name Astyanax mexicanus (Mexican tetra). Lineage: Eukaryota; Metazoa; Chordata; Actinopteri; Characiformes; Acestrorhamphidae. The record is from RNAcentral.